RNAcentral lists this long non-coding RNA (395 nucleotides) under Mytilus galloprovincialis (Mediterranean mussel). Lineage: Eukaryota; Metazoa; Mollusca; Bivalvia; Mytilida; Mytilidae. The record is from RNAcentral.
GCCCGGUUAACAACAUCACCUUUUAAUUUUAGGAUAUACUAUUAAACUUGAAAUAAGGUACAGCCAAAACUGUAAACCAUGAUACUGCAUUGAUAAAUACAUUUAUCAUAUACUUAGACUAAAUAACAUAUGAUUUUUACUGUAUGAUAAUACCAUUAAAUUAACGUAAAUUCCAUAUUUUUCGAAUUGGUCCUUAGCGGGCUGAUAUGAAAAGUUUAUCACAUGCUUCGAUUGUUAUCACAUGCCUUUCCGUAACGUUAUCGCAUGGCAUUCCGGUGAUACUCGGCAAAUUCCGGAAAAUACACCUCAAUGCUACGUUUACAGUGAAAACCAUUACAAAGUAGUGUACAAAACAAUCAUUUGGAUACUGGAAAGUAUAUUUCGUGAAAUAUUAA